CCUACGGGAGGCAGCAGUGAGGAAUAUUGGUCAAUGGGCGCGAGCCUGAACCAGCCAAGUAGCGUGAAGGAUGACUGCCCUACGGGUUGUAAACUUCUGUUAUAAAGGAAUAAAGUGAGGCACGUGUGCCUUUUUGUAUGUACUUUAUGAAUAAGGAUCGGCUAACUCCGUGCCAGCAGCCGCGGUAAUACGGAGGAGCCGAGCGUUAUCCGGAUUUAUGGGGGUGAAAGGGAGCGUAGAUGGGUUGGUAAGUCAGUUGUGAAAGUUUGCGGCUCAACCGUAAAAUUGCAAUUGAUACUGGCAGUCUUUAUUACAGUUGAGGUCGUCGGAAUUCGUGGUGUAGCGGUUACAUGCUUAGAUCUCACG
RNAcentral lists this ribosomal RNA (366 nucleotides) under uncultured bacterium. Its description in RNAcentral is "partial 16S ribosomal RNA". It matches the Rfam family "Bacterial small subunit ribosomal RNA", at positions 338 to 701 of the family's 1533-position model. The record is from RNAcentral.